This 241-nucleotide unclassified non-coding RNA is filed under the name Hevea brasiliensis (rubber tree). The record is from RNAcentral. Lineage: Eukaryota; Viridiplantae; Streptophyta; Magnoliopsida; Malpighiales; Euphorbiaceae.
CCCACUUUGAAAGGUCUCUUUUUCUUUCCUCUCUUUCGCAUUCUGCAACCUCACGACCCGAGAAGCUAAAGAGAGAGACCAGAAAUCGUCAUAUCUGAUCUUAAUCUUUUACUGGGUCAUCCUUCCUGUUUCUGGGAAAUCGUAAUUUCUUUCUCUGUGAGAAGUUCGCAUUUUUAUCGUCACCGAUACAUAGAAUGUAUGUGAAAGCGGUGCCACCGACGGAUUUGAAUAGGAACACCGA